GUGCCUGGUGAACGGCAAGAACAUCCACUCUCACUUCGUGCCCCAAGAGGUCCCCAAGAGACUGGAGCUCUCCUUCCAGGCCUUCAGCUUUACUGGUCAACUCCUGCUGAUGUAUAUGUCAAUCGCAAGCUGCUGCUCUGGAAUCUAAAGGUCUCAUCUGAUGCUACCAAGAAGGCCUGUUCCUUCCACAGGGGCACAAACAGAUUCCAAUCAGGCCUCUGAGAAGGCUUCCAAUCAGGUGACAGAGAAGGCUUCCAAUCAGGUGACAGAGAAGGCUGACUUGUCCUCUGAACUGAGUCAGGCUUCUGACUCUAGGGGGCCUGGAGACGAGCGAGGGAGCCCUCUCUUGUAGCCUGGGCUCUUCUCCAGGUCCCCUUCACAGUGAGAGACACUGGAGCGCCACAUCCAGGGGUCUUUGGCAGUCCCUGUAGAAUCAGGCUCUGGCUUCCUCCUUCUCCCUUCCCCCUCCUCCCUGGGCCCUCAUUUGUGGCCUGCCAGGGCAGAGCCUGAAACCUCAGGCAAUCUGGCUGUAAGCUUGCUUACCUCAUGACCUUGGAAGCCACUUACCCCUUUGAGCCUCCUUAUCCAGAAGAACAGUAACUGCUGCCCACUGGAUAUUGUUAAUAAAUGCUGCCUUUGUUGCCUGCCUGCCAAAGGAGGGGCCAGGGCUUCCAUUUUUCUGUUUAAUCCUCCCAAUAAUCCCAUGCAGUAGACACAAUCAGGUCCCAUUCUAUAGAUGGGGAAACUGAGGCUUGAGGUCACAUAGGCACCAGUCGAGGCCGGUAUCCCUGCACCCUCUCCCAUGUGAACAACAUGGUUCUGGGUAAUGGGGGCUGUUAUCCUGUCUCCUCCCUGCUCCUGCUGGUGCACUUCCUGCCUCUACUGGUGCACUUUCUGCCGCUACUGGUAUAUUUGCUGCCUCUGCUGGGGCGCCUCCUGCCUCUGCUGGUGUAUCUCCUGCCCCUGCUGGUGCACUUUCUGCCCCCGCUGAUGCACUUCCUGCCUCUGCUGGUGCACUUCCUGGCUCUGCUGGUGCACUUCCUGCCCUUGCUGGUGUAUUUCCUGCCCCUGCUGGUGUACUUCCUUCCCCUGCUGGUGCACUUCCUGCCUCUGCUGGUGCACUUCUUGCCUCUCCAGGCCCUACCUAGCCUCUCCCUCUUAUAUAUGGAAGUCUUCCCAGCUCACUGACACUGGUAACAGGGACUCUGCUCUUGGUGUUGCUGUCUGCCCUGGGGAUGGGCAUCUGUGUCUUUCGUUACUACUGCUGGCUCAGGGCCCAGAGCUUUGAAGCAUGUCCAGAUGCAGGUCCAGGUACCGGAGUCUAAGGAGCCCCCACACCCACCAGGAUUUUCCAAUAAAGAGAUGUUCACC
Pongo pygmaeus (Bornean orangutan) is the source of this 1371-nucleotide long non-coding RNA. RefSeq lists it as uncharacterized. The record is from RefSeq and is a predicted model, not a curated record. The transcript has 3 exons. NCBI's taxonomy places the organism in Eukaryota, Metazoa, Chordata, Mammalia, Primates, Hominidae.